UAAACCCUGGACACGGCCGGAUGAUCCGGCCUGGCCCCUGCGGUUUGUGAGCGCCAGACUCUCUGGACACGGCCGGGUGAUCCGGCCCUAGACCGGAUGAUCCGGCCCUUGCAGUUUGUGAGCGCCCGAACCUCUCUGUCCAAGUCCGGAAGAUCCGGCCCUACCCCAGAUGAUCCGAACCUGUAACUUUCUGAGCGCCCGGUAGUCUAUGAGUGACUCCGGAUGAUCCGGACCUAUAUCGGAUGAUCCGAACCUGGGAGUUUUCGAGUGUGUUUUAGCCUAUUCUGUUACCCAUCCGGAUUAUCCGAGGAUACCCCGGAUGAUCCGGAACCCACAGAAAACACACAUAACGGUCACCUGCGGGGGUGGGGCUAUAAAUACCCCUCACCCCCCCCCCCUCAGUUACUCCUCUCUGCCCUCACGACCAACCUAGUUCCAAAAGCAUUCAUUCCUUCACUCCUCUCCCUCCAAGAUCUUGAUUCUAGCAAGGAUUCACCUAGGGAUUGAGAGGAAGUGAGAUUCGCGGGUUGGUGUGUGAGCACUCCGUGAGCUUUCACUCGUUCAUCUCAAGAAGCACUUGAAGCAACCUUUAAUUCGUCGAUUCACAUUCUUUACUCUUGGAGCUUUGCUCCUAGACGGUUAGAGGUGCCGGUGAGCUCCCAUUCUUUUGUGGUUGAGCCUCCGGAAGUUUGUAUUACCUCUUCUCUUCGUGAGAAGAAUAGUAAAUGACUCAAUCCUCCUACGUGGUUGAUUGGGCGAGGAAAAAGGGUUAUAGGGCAAUCCUGCUCUUUAUGAGCCCCUCAACGGAGAUGUAGCUCCUUCGUGGAGUGAACUUCGGGAUAAAUCUUAUGUCUCCUUUACUUUUGUUAUUCAUAUUGUUCUUGAGCUCGUUUUGACCCGAUCUACUUUUUAGUAGCAUAUCUCUUGUGUAGAACUUAUUCUCAGGCUUGUUUACUUCAUUUGUCAACUUCGUAUUCAAACAGAAUCGUCAAAAGCUGAGUAGAUUUCAAAUCUCGUACAAGAUUCUUUUUUGCUGUUGGAUCAUCCGACCCUACGCAGGAUCAUCCGGGCCUAAGAAGGACCGGAAGAUCCGAUGUAAGGCCGGAUCAUCCGGACCUGAUGUUUUCCUGCCAAGUUUUUUCAGGAAAUUUUUAAACAGGCCUAUUCACCCCCUCCCCCUUUAGGCCUUGUGUCGAUCCUUUCACUCAUGCCGGAUGAUCCGAACCUGUGAGUUUUCGAGUGUGUUUUUGCCUAUUCUAUUACUUGCUCUGAUGAUCUGGUGUUACGCCGAAUGAUCCGGGUAUUCCAGAAAACACACAUAACGGUCAUGUGUGGGGGUGAGAGUAUAUAUACCCCUUCACCCCCCCUCAUUUACUUCUCUCUGCCUCCACGACCAACCACGCCUCCAUAUCAUUCAUUCCUCCACUCUCUUCCAUCCAAAAGCUUGAUUCUUGCAAGGAUUCACCUAGGGAUUGAGAGGGAGUGAGAUUUGUAGGUUGAGGUGUGAGCACUUUGUGAGAUUCACUCAUUCAUCUCAAGAAGCACUUAAAGCAUCCUUUGAUUCAUCGAUUCACGUUUAUUACUCUUGGAGCUUUGCUCCUAGACGGUUAGAGGUGCCGGUGAGCUCCCAUUCUUUUGUGGUUUGAGCCUCUGGAAUUUUGUAUUACACCCUCUCUUUGUGAGAACAAUAGUAGGUGACUCAAUCCUCCUUGGUGGUCGAUUGGGUGAGAAAAAGGGUUAUAGGGCAACCCUGCUCUUUGUGAGCACCUCAACGGAGAUGUAGCUCCUUUGUGGAGUGAACUUCGGGAUAAAUCUUGCUUCUCCUUUACUUACUGUUGUUCAUUGUUCUUGAGCUUGUUUUGACCCGAUCUACUUGUUAGUAGCUUAUCUCUUGUAUAGAACUUGCUCGCAUGCUUAGUUACUUCAUUUGUCAACUUUGUAUUCAAAGAGAAUAUUCAAAAGCUAAGUAGAAUUCAAUUCUCGUACAAAAUUCCCUCCUCCUGUCGGAAGAUCCGACCCAACGCCGGAUCAUCCGGGCCUGGGAAGGCUGGAAGAUCCGACAUAAAGGCUGGAUCAUCCGACACUGAUGAUUUUCUGUCAAGUUUUUCAUAAUUUUUUUUUAAUAAGCCUAUUCACCCCCCCUCUAGGCCUAGUGCCGAUCCUUUCAGCUAUGCAGCCCAAUGAAUGGCAACAAUUCUCCCAGCGCGCACCAUGCAGCCUAACCCACAAUCCCAUGUAAAGUCGACGUGCACGGCAAAAAGUUGCACCCGCAAGGAAUCGAUCCUGAGACCUCACGUAUCGAGAAUCGCUGCUAACCAAUUGAAUUGCAUGCAUUUCUUGUCUAGGAUACACCUGCAACCCUAUUUAAUAAGGGAAACAAGGAAAACUCUACCCUAAUUAAUCACUCCUUGGUAUGCACAAUCAUGUCCUAAACUACCUCUAAAUCCUAUACGGAGGGAGUAUGUCCUAACAAAUUCUGCAUUGAUAUGUACACAAAUACAAGCAGCAGAUCAGAACAGGCAAAGUGGACUUGGUCUUGUUCCUCGGUAAGCUUCAACAUUUAAAAGGUGUAUUUUUUCUUUACUAUUCCAUAUUAUUAGUUCAUACGUAUUUAGGUCGUUUUGUUUGCCGGAUAUAUGUGCAAAUGCUUUGUCAGCUAUGUUCUUUCAAAAAAUUUCAUUGGUACUCGAUAACAAUUGAGAUCACAGUCUGCAGUGCAUCUUCUCAUAAUUUCUGAAAGUCCUUUUCAAGAAUCAUGGAGGGGAAAUAACUUUGUUGUUUGCAGGGUUAGCUAUCCAACUUGCCAUCUGAAUUUUGAUUUGGCAUGCCUUCAUCUAAUCCAAGAAUCAUGGAGGGGAAAUGACUUUGUUGCUUGCAGGGUUAGCUAUUCAACUUGCCAUCUGAAUUUUGAUUUGGCAUGCCUUCAUCUAAUCCAUGAAUCAUGGAGGGGAAACGACUUUGUUGCUUGCAGGGUUAGCUAUCCAACUUGCCAUCUGAAUUGAUUUGGUUAGAUAUGAUUUACGUGACUAGCUAACAUAGUAGUACAUGUGGUUUACUAUGGGAGAAGGAAGAUUCCAUGAUUCUUGCAAGUUAAGUCUAGCAAUUCAGCAUUAUGACAUACGUAGCAAUUACUGAUUUCUUAUUUUUCUGAAUUAACAACAAUCAUUUGACAUGCUUUGGCGAGUAUGGAUUCUAAAAAAAAUAGUCAUGUGUGGUUAGGAAGUUUCCUAUGGAUAAAUGACCAUAAAGUACAUGAUUAUGCUUCAUAGAUAUUUUUUCAACUGCAAAAUCCUGUCUGUAUCUGCGUUUCAUCAUUAGUGUACAGAUGAAAAUGUCACCAGCCACAUUGCUCCGCAUGAGUAGCCAGAGCAGCAACUCAUUAUUACCGAUUGCCCAAUUUGCCCAGUUGGGUCUACUAAAUUUCUAGAACUAGUGAUUUUUUUAUUCCAAUAUCUCACUUUCUUUCUAGGAAAGCAAGAUUCUAAAUCUGUUGGACAUGAAGAUAUGUAAGUAGUUGCAGGAGCCUGAGGGUGUGGGAGCAGUUGGUUUGGGACAUUUGCGGUUGUACGACACCAAGAAUAUGGAAGCAACUGGCUGUAUAAAUGGACUAGAAAUAAAAAGUUUCCUAUGAUAUUGAUUUGAAAGAAAAUGUAUGUCUGAGCAUUCUGAAUUAUAGGUUAACUAUUGCCUUUGGAUCACUAGAUCGUGUAUGUUUGAACAAGAAGAAAGAGAGGCCAGGUGUGUACUGCUGUAUUAUAAUCUAACAUAGGUAAGUUAUCUUGUUAGAUUCA
Molecule: long non-coding RNA, 3791 nt
Organism: Panicum virgatum (switchgrass)
Lineage: Eukaryota; Viridiplantae; Streptophyta; Magnoliopsida; Poales; Poaceae
Exons: 2
Source: RefSeq, a predicted model, not a curated record